GGUCCCAUCGUCUAGUGGCCUAGGACACCAGGUUUUCAUCCUGGCAACAGGGGUUCGAUUCCCCUUGGGAUCACCA
Molecule: transfer RNA, 76 nt
Filed under: bacterium G20
Lineage: Bacteria
Description: tRNA-Glu
Rfam family: tRNA
About the family: Transfer RNA (tRNA) molecules are approximately 80 nucleotides in length. Their secondary structure includes four short double-helical elements and three loops (D, anti-codon, and T loops). Further hydrogen bonds mediate the characteristic L-shaped molecular structure. tRNAs have two regions of fundamental functional importance: the anti-codon, which is responsible for specific mRNA codon recognition, and the 3' end, to which the tRNAs corresponding amino acid is attached (by aminoacyl-tRNA synthetases). tRNAs cope with the degeneracy of the genetic code in two manners: having more than one tRNA (with a specific anti-codon) for a particular amino acid; and 'wobble' base-pairing, i.e. permitting non-standard base-pairing at the 3rd anti-codon position.
Source: RNAcentral